Non-coding RNA from Zonotrichia albicollis (white-throated sparrow), 2235 nucleotides. NCBI's taxonomy places the organism in Eukaryota, Metazoa, Chordata, Aves, Passeriformes, Passerellidae. The record is from RefSeq and is a predicted model, not a curated record.
AAAAAAAUCUACCUUCAGGAAUGAAGACAACUCUCAAGACCUUCAUCUUUGUCACCGAGGCAGAUGGUGCUUUUCAAGGGCAGAUGCAGGACACACAAAUUUCAAGCAUGACAGCAAAGAAGUCCCUUCUGCUCGUUUCAUUUUGUAGAAGAAGAAAAUAAUAAAACUUCUCAUCGAUCCCUGGACUGCACUUGAGUGAGAGCUGUUAGCUGUCACAAAUAGAAACAACUCAGGAGUGUGAAGAGGGUCAAGUGGAGGAUCAGCUCAUUACUGUGAUUUAAGAAUGGAGGAGACAAAUGCUAUUCUCAUCAUAAAUGUUUUCUUUCUUGUUCUAUACUGCAAAAGGAAGGACAUUCAAUGCUGUGCUUCAAAGUCACAUUGCAAUCCCAAUCUAGUUGUUCAUGUUGGGUUUAAUAUAAACAAAGUCUAAUUGCAUAUACAGCUUUGUAAAUCCUCAGCAUCACUGGAGCUGCCCUGAUGAGAGAUCAGAAUUAGGGUGUCCAACACAGCAUUCUGGAGGCAGUUCUCACACAAUGGACUUUCUCUGGCUUCCUCCUAGAGAAGAACUUAAUCAAACCUCAGAUGCUUUCAGGCAGAAGAGCCUUCGGGGAGAGCAAACAGGGUUAACAGAAAGAAAUGUGCCAUCUGAUUUCUAAUCUUGCUCAGGGAGCAUGGCCUAUUGAUUGAGCCAUAAAGCUCUGUUAAUUUUAAUAUUUCCUCAGCUUUCAGUUCUUUCCCUUGGGCAUAAACUUGUUGCUGACACACAGUGGCUGAGCUAUCAGGGAGAGGGUAGCUUCACACUCCCCGACUCGGCUCUCUUCCCCUCCUCCCCUCCAUUCUAUUUGUUCUGAGCUCAUCUGCGUGAGGAUACAUUUUCACACACACCUUCUCAAACCGGCUGCUAUUCAUCUGAUUCAGGGUCAUGCUUUUCCAUACAUUAAAUGCAGGGGAAAACUGGGAAGGAAAUGGCUGGGAUUUGUGCUUGACGGGCAAGCACACGAUUAGCCAGGGAGCCCUGCUGUGAGAAAGUACAGCGUCGGAGGGUAUUUUCUGUGGAAUCAUCCAGUCUCAUGACUGGAAUCUGAUGCCUAUAAAAAGCUACUAUAUAAUGAAAACAGGAUAAAGUGAGAUCCUCAGGCAGUGUAAGUCGGCAUGUUCCCGAGACAUCCGACUGCUGCACAAUCACGGAACAGGUCAGCUUGGAAGGGACCGCCUGUGGGGCCAUCUGAUCCAACCUCCCUGCCCAAACAGGGUCCUCCUAGACACAACUCUUUCUUCCUUUAUAACCUCGGUAUUUGCUUACGCACAUUUUUCUCAGGGGUAAGGAGGCAGAAGUCACUCUUGGAGAGGCCAGUCAGUGCAGCCCUGAGCUAGAAACGGAGCAGGAGGCGAUGGCACAGGGCAGCUCCCUCAGUGCUCUGUGUUUCCACCAUGCCUUCAGUGGGACCAUGAACAAUUUACAUUAGCAAAGGAUCUAGCCCUUCACCUUUAGCUAAAGCACCUUUUAUGCACUUAAACCAUUAAUAAUAUCUAUUAGGUAACCAUGUUAAUCCCUUUGAGGUAGGAUUUCCUCUACUGUACUGAUGGCUGAACUGAAUAAAAGCUUCACAUAUGAGAGGGCCUGGUUUGCACUAGAAAUGCUUCUCCUUUGAUAACCAGCAAAUACAAGUUUUACUAGCACAAGCAUCUUUUUCUGCAAGCGUUUCCCAAAUAAAAUAGGCUAUACUGGCAAAAGCAUUUUUUUUUUUUGCUCAUAUAGCUGCAUCUAUAUGGGGGAUUUUUGCACGUAGUGAAACGCAAUCUGUUUUAAAUGGCACUUCAGAAGAGCAUUGCUAUCCCACAGAAGUUUCAAGGCUAGACCUUGAAGUAUAUACUUCUGCCUCAUAUCUGAAAGAGCUUUUUACAAAGUGGCCAUUGUCAUCUUGCAGGAAAUACAGAGAAACUGAGACACACGGAUUGGGAGUGCUGUGCUCUAUCUGGAAUUUGUGUUCAUUACAUUCUUUAGCUUCAGAUGAAAUUAUGUAUCCAUAAUCAGACUCAUUCCUCACUAUGCAAAAUUUCUUCUUGAACAACUGUGACAAAGACAGUGGGUGUUUCAAAAGCAGCAUAGUUCUGUAUGAAAGAAAAGUCCUAUUGAAAAUCAGGUAGGUAAAUGCCAUUCUGAAUGACCUAGACAUUUUCUGAACUGUCAAAUGUAGACCAAACUCGUUAAAAAACAAAAACACUAAGAGGCUA